CAAUGGGGGAAACCCUGAUGCAGCCAUGCCGCGUGUGUGAAGAAGGCCUUCGGGUUGUAAAGCACUUUCAGCGAGGAGGAAAGGUUGGCAGCUAAUAUCUGUCAGCUGGACGUUACUCGCAGAAGAAGCACCG
This 133-nucleotide ribosomal RNA is filed under the name Aeromonas sp. FBT3-2. Its description in RNAcentral is "partial 16S ribosomal RNA". It matches the Rfam family "Bacterial small subunit ribosomal RNA", at positions 369 to 495 of the family's 1533-position model. Lineage: Bacteria; Pseudomonadati; Pseudomonadota; Gammaproteobacteria; Aeromonadales; Aeromonadaceae. The record is from RNAcentral.